AAUAGAAUCAGGGAGAUGUACAUCUCAUUAAAUAAAAUAAACAAAAUAAAUAGGCUGAUACUUUUCCAUGAUACACCACCCCUCUGCCAGGUGUCCGUCGCUGAGGGUUUUCAGCUUGUUCUUCUGAAUCCAACACCCAGGGGUUUAAAUCCGUGGCGGCAGGCGAAGUAGCCCAACGAGGACGUUCAAUAGCAAUAAACACUGGCUGCGGUUUGGUUGAAGGCACCCCCAGAUCCGCACCCUUCCUCACCUCCUUGCGACGUUUCGUUACGGAAAAGAAACCGGUGUCCCGUGCUCUCGAGUACUUUACUGAGCGAGGACGACUUCCGAUCCCACCGCCUCCAGGGGGAGAGAGAGAGAGCAGAGCCAAACGGAGCG
Molecule: long non-coding RNA, 378 nt
Organism: Ornithorhynchus anatinus (platypus)
Lineage: Eukaryota; Metazoa; Chordata; Mammalia; Monotremata; Ornithorhynchidae
Exons: 3
Source: RefSeq, a predicted model, not a curated record